This 368-nucleotide ribosomal RNA is filed under the name uncultured organism. Its description in RNAcentral is "bacterial SSU rRNA". It matches the Rfam family "Bacterial small subunit ribosomal RNA", at positions 526 to 896 of the family's 1533-position model. The record is from RNAcentral.
CGAAGGAUGCAAGCGUUAUCCGGAUUCACUGGGUUUAAAGGGUGUGCAGGUGGGGUAAUAAGUCAGUGGUGAAAGCCCCCGACUCAAUCGGGGAACUGCCAUAGAUACUGUUAUUCUUGAGUGUAGUUGAGGCAGAUGGAAUAUGACAUGUAGCGGUGAAAUGCUUAGAUAUGUCAUAGAACACCGAUCGCGAAGGCAGUCUGCCAAACUAUUACUGACACUGAAACACGAAAGUGCGGGGAUCAAACAGGAUUAGAUACCCUGGUAGUCCGCACCGUAAACGAUGAUCACUCGUUGUUGGCGAUAUACAGUCAGCGACUAAGCGAAAGCAUUAAGUGAUCCACCUGGGAAGUACGACCGCAAGGUUG